This 233-nucleotide long non-coding RNA is filed under the name Elaeis guineensis (African oil palm). Its description in RNAcentral is "long non-coding RNA (EGUI_LNC070180)". The record is from RNAcentral. Lineage: Eukaryota; Viridiplantae; Streptophyta; Magnoliopsida; Arecales; Arecaceae.
ACCUCUACUUCAGGAUUGGUUAGGAUGAGUCUAGACCCUACUCUCGUCACAUUUGAUAAGCCAUCCACAUAUAGCGUCUAGAGCUCCUCUGGGUCAGAUCCUAUGUCUACUUCCUCACCUCUCGAGCUUUCACUAGAUCCUGAGUUCUCCCCUUUUUUCAAGCUCCCUGCAGCCCUUGAGCCCUCUCUAUUUGGAAUGGUGCACUCGAGGAUGAAAUCUACCAGCACUUGGGC